This is a long non-coding RNA of Coregonus clupeaformis (lake whitefish), 278 nucleotides long. RefSeq lists it as uncharacterized. Lineage: Eukaryota; Metazoa; Chordata; Actinopteri; Salmoniformes; Salmonidae. The transcript is spliced from 2 exons. The record is from RefSeq and is a predicted model, not a curated record.
UAUAAUAAACCUUUGAAAACAGAGUACAGUGUCGGCGGAUUCCUUUAUCAUCACAAGCAUGGACCAGCAAAAGUGUUUCUUUUAGGCACUACAUAAUGGCGACGAGGAAUGGGGCGUCUUGCAUCUUCUCUCAGCGUUCCAUUCAUGGGCUACGAAGUGACUCCCGCUCAAGAAGCAUGCAAAAAAGAGACGAGAAGGAGGAGACAGAGAGAGAGAGAGAAAGAGGAGGGGCUGACAUCAACUGACACCAGUGACGGCAACCCUGUCCAAAUCAAGGC